This 323-nucleotide unclassified non-coding RNA is filed under the name Cercozoa sp. RNAcentral's name for it is "partial contains small subunit ribosomal RNA, internal transcribed spacer 1, and 5.8S ribosomal RNA". The stretch from base 1 to 47 matches the Rfam family "Eukaryotic small subunit ribosomal RNA", at positions 1785 to 1831 of the family's 1831-position model. The record is from RNAcentral. Lineage: Eukaryota; Cercozoa.
AAAGUCGUAACAAGGUUUCCGUAGGUGAACCUGCGGAAGGAUCAUUAUCACGUAUCCACGUAUAAACCAUUGCGAACCGUUUUCCACCUCCGCUGGCGCAGCAUGUAAGCAUGUAGAGAACCUGGGUUCUGACCCACUAGUGGGUCAGUUAAGCAGAGCUCUUCACUUUCAAACCUGCUGCUGCUACGGAGCGUAUUCACACCAUAUUAACCAUAUAACCCAAUCUUUAUAACUUUAUGAACUAACUUUUAUUUUAUACUCUUCGGAGAUAAAAUUCAUUACGAAACAAAGAACAACUCUUAGCAACGGAUAUCUUGGUUCUC